UACGUAGGGGGCUAGCGUUGUCCGGAAUCAUUGGGCGUAAAGCGUCUGUAGGUGGCUUUUUAAGUCUGCCGUCAAAUCCCAGGGCUUAACCCUGGACAGGCGGUGGAAACUACCAAGCUGGAGUACGGUAGGGGCAGAGGGAAUUUCCGGUGGAGCGGUGAAAUGCGUAGAGAUCGGGAAGAACAUCGGUGGCGAAAGCGCUCUACUGGACCGCAACUGACACUCAGGGACGAAAGCUAGGGGAGCGAAUGGG
This 253-nucleotide ribosomal RNA is filed under the name uncultured bacterium. RNAcentral's name for it is "partial 16S ribosomal RNA". It matches the Rfam family "Bacterial small subunit ribosomal RNA", at positions 524 to 776 of the family's 1533-position model. The record is from RNAcentral.